This 468-nucleotide ribosomal RNA is filed under the name uncultured bacterium. Its description in RNAcentral is "partial 16S ribosomal RNA". It matches the Rfam family "Bacterial small subunit ribosomal RNA", at positions 28 to 507 of the family's 1533-position model. The record is from RNAcentral.
GACGAACGCUGGCGGCGCGCCUAACGCAUGCAAGUCGAACGGAGCUGAGAGAAGCUUGCUUUUCUUAGCUUAGUGGCGAACGGGUGAGUAACGCGUGAGUAACCUGCCCUGGAGUGGGGGACAACAGUUGGAAACGACUGCUAAUACCGCAUAAGCCCACGAUCCGGCAUCGGAUUGAGGGAAAAGGAUUUAUUCGCUUCAGGAUGGACUCGCGUCCAAUUAGCUAGUUGGUGAGGUAACGGCCCACCAAGGCGACGAUUGGUAGCCGGACUGAGAGGUUGAACGGCCACAUUGGGACUGAGACACGGCCCAGACUCCUACGGGAGGCAGCAGUGGGGGAUAUUGCACAAUGGGGGAAACCCUGAUGCAGCGACGCCGCGUGGAGGAAGAAGGUUUUCGGAUUGUAAACUCCUGUCGUUAGGGACGAUAAUGACGGUACCUAACAAGAAAGCACCGGCUAACUACGUG